UGGUUCUGGCAUCGAUGAAGAACGCAGCGAAAUGCGAUACGUAAUGUGAAUUGCAGAAUUCAGUGAAUCAUCGAAUCUUUGAACGCACAUUGCGCCCGCCAGCAUUCUGGCGGGCAUGCCUGUCCGAGCGUCAUUUCAACCCUCGAGCCCCCGGGCUUGGUGUUGGGGGACGGCCCGCCCGCCGCGGCGGGCCGCCCCCGAAAUGAAUUGGCGGCCACGGCGUCCGCCUCCCCUGCGUAGUAGCACAGCAGUCUCGCAACGGGAGCGCGCCGCGGCCACUGCCGUAAAACGCACAACUUCUCAAGAGUUGACCUCGGAUCAGGUAGGAAUACCCGCUGA
This 339-nucleotide unclassified non-coding RNA is filed under the name uncultured fungus. RNAcentral describes it as "partial contains 5.8S ribosomal RNA and internal transcribed spacer 2". The stretch from base 1 to 133 matches the Rfam family "5.8S ribosomal RNA", at positions 22 to 154 of the family's 154-position model. Lineage: Eukaryota; Fungi. The record is from RNAcentral.